RNAcentral lists this transfer RNA (69 nucleotides) under Candidatus Margulisiibacteriota bacterium. Its description in RNAcentral is "tRNA-Cys". The record is from RNAcentral. Lineage: Bacteria; Bacillati; Candidatus Margulisiibacteriota.
AGCUCAGUUGGUAGAGCAGUCCGCCGCAGGCGGAUAAACAGCAGGUCAGCGGUUCGAUCCCGCUCGUCG